This 254-nucleotide ribosomal RNA is filed under the name uncultured bacterium. RNAcentral describes it as "partial 16S ribosomal RNA". It matches the Rfam family "Bacterial small subunit ribosomal RNA", at positions 524 to 776 of the family's 1533-position model. The record is from RNAcentral.
UACGUAGGGUGCGAGCGUUGUCCGGAAUUAUUGGGCGUAAAGAGCUCGUAGGCGGUGUGUCACGUCGGCCGUGAAAACCUGGGGCUUAACUCUGGGCGUGCGGUCGAUACGGGCAUCACUAGAGUUCGGCAGGGAAGACUGGAAUUCCUGGUGUAGCGGUGAAAUGCGCAGAUAUCAGGAGGAACACCGGUGGCGAAGGCGGGUCUCUGGGCCGAUACUGACGCUGAGGAGCGAAAACAUGGGUAGCGAACAGG